This 264-nucleotide ribosomal RNA is filed under the name uncultured bacterium. RNAcentral describes it as "partial 16S ribosomal RNA". It matches the Rfam family "Bacterial small subunit ribosomal RNA", at positions 524 to 784 of the family's 1533-position model. The record is from RNAcentral.
GACAGGGGAUGCGAGCGUUACUCGGAAUCACUGGGCGUAAAGCGUCUGUAGGCGGUGUGAUGCGUCUUGUGUGAAAUCACCGGGCUCAACCCGGUAUCCGCAUGGGAAACGGUCACGCUCGAGGGACUCAGAGGUGCCUGGAAUGCUGUGUGUAGGGGUAAAAUCCGUUGAUACACAGUAGAACGCUCAAAGCGAAAGCAGGGCACUGGGAGUUUCCUGACGCUGAGAGACGAAAGCGUGGGGAGCAAACCGGAUUAGAACGUA